Molecule: ribosomal RNA, 291 nt
Filed under: uncultured archaeon
Lineage: Archaea
Description: partial 16S ribosomal RNA
Rfam family: Archaeal small subunit ribosomal RNA
Source: RNAcentral
GCGAGAAACCUUCACAAUGUGCGAAAGCGCGAUGAGGGGAUCCCAAGUGCUUGCUCGUAAGAGUAAGCUGUUUUUAUGUCUAAAACGCAUAGAGAGUAAGGGCUGGGUAAGACGGGUGCCAGCCGCCGCGGUAAUACCUGCAGCUCAAGUGGUGACCGCUAUUAUUGGGCCUAAAACAUUCGUAGCCGGUUUGGUAAAUGUCUGGGUAAAUCGUGUAGCUUAACUAUACGAAUUCCGGGUAGACUGCCAAACUUGAGACCGGGAGAAGCUAGAGGUACUCCUUGGGUAGAG